RNA transcript from Silurus meridionalis, 4296 nucleotides. It is a transcript of the gene named PWWP domain containing 2B, with no coding region annotated. NCBI's taxonomy places the organism in Eukaryota, Metazoa, Chordata, Actinopteri, Siluriformes, Siluridae. The record is from RefSeq and is a predicted model, not a curated record. The transcript is spliced from 4 exons.
UCGUGUAAAACGUGUGAUCACAUCACACUUGUAACUAUAAUUAGACAGGAUGAAUACGAUGUAGGAUUUUACAGGUUACUGAUUUGUUUGGGAGUUUUUGUUUUGCCUUGACAGUAGAUUCCUUCAAUGUAAUCAAUGUGAAUUAAUCACAGUUCUUGAUGGAUCAAGACAAGUUAUAUGUAGGUCUAAUUUCAGCAGCCUUGAAAUAGUGAAGAUAAUAAAAACAACUAUGUGUAAUUAUAGGUUAUGAGCAACUAAAUAAUUUGUGCUAUUGACCAAUGGGCAAAAGUGCUGGAUGUGUUUGACGGGAUAGGGCACGGCUGGGGCAGAAAUGAACUGAAAUGCGCGGUGAUCUUUAGAUUCUUAACAUCUUCCCCUCAAAAAAAAAAAAGCGCGGAUGAGAAGUGAACGCGAGUAGAAGCGGAGGCUCGCGCGCUCACGGUUCCCUCUCUCGCCUCUUUGUGAUGUCACGGCUGGCCGCGCGGCUGUAAUUGCGCCGGUGGGGUUGAUGGCGUCAUUCCGUGGCCCCGUGUAGCCUCCCGUGCUCGCUAGCAGAACGAGCGAGGAUCUGAGGCCGACGCGCGCGGCUCCGGCGCCCGGAAACGAGCAGCGCCACGCCGGACACUUCUCCCAGGAAACAUGGAGGCCGCCGCCGAGGAGCUGCGGGCCGGCUCCCGGAUUCCGGUCACCAUCGAACAGAUACUGAAUGACACACUGGUGGUGACGCUCACCUACCGGGAAAGGAGCUACACCGGGAUUUUGCUGGACUGCAACAAAAAGACUGGGUUGUUCUGCCUGCCAGAUGUCGUAGGAAAGUCAGAAGAGUCUCUUAUUUCCAGACAGGAAUCUGACGUGCAGAACGAGGAGCCAUGCUCCAAGCCUCCAUUUCAGUCAGCCCCACGACCAAAGGAUGAGAACACUGAGCCUGACAAGCCACCUGUCGUCCCCUUACCCAUACCAGUACAGCCAGGCCAGCCUACCUACCCUCCCUACUUUGAGGGCGCUCCUUUUCCUCAGCCCAUGUGGGUACGUCAUACCUACAGUCAGUGGGUUCCUCAGCCUCCACCCCGACCAAUCAAAAGAAAGAAGAGGCGGUCUCGAGAGCCUGGCCGCAUGACCAUAAGCACGAUUAGACUAAGGCCUAGACAGGUGCUUUGCGAAAAGUGCAAGAACACAGUCACCAGUGACGAGGACAGUAAAGAUGGGUCAGCUGUGGCCAAGCCUUCCAGGAAGGAGAAUGCACCACAAGGGGAGGAGCAUACCAAAGAUGCCCCAACAAAAGGACUCAGGAAGGAAGACGGAGAUGCCACAAGAGAAUCCAAGAGGCGAGAUGAGGCUCCAUGCUAUGAAAGCAAGCGUUGUCGAAAAGAUAGAAAGGAGGAUGAGAAGUUUCCAGGAGGUGAUGUAGUGCCUCACAGCCCAGUAAUAAAGAUCUCCUAUAGUACUCCACAAGGGAAAGGGGAAGUAAUGAAAAUCCCAUCCAGAGUUCAUGGUUCUGUGAAGCCCUUCUGCCCCAAGCAACUGAUGCAGAAUGGGCUUGGGGAGCACGACAACAGCCGUGAGCCCAGAAAAGACACACGAUCUGCUAUUGAGUCCAUCCGGACUGGCCUUACUGUAUCUAUCCCCAAACUCAAACUCCCAAAACUGACAGAUCAGGACAUCCCAUCACCCAAAAUCCGCUUAAAGUCCCGUGGGGAUGGUAUGGAGCGUGUGUCUGUAUAUGAGGCAGAACUGGUGGGGGAGGCAAGGCGCAGGAGUCCCAGGGUUCCUGGUUCAGGGCUGACUCGACCCGAGGACUCUGGGGACAAAAAUGCCCUGGAACUGUGGUCAGGUGAGGAAACGGAGCGACACGGUGACCUCACACUCCUUAUCAACUUUGGCAAACGCAAGGCAGACUCGUCUAGCCUUUCAGUGUGUAGCAGCGAUAGCCUGGAUGAGUCCAAGUCCUUCAGCUCGGAUGGGACAUCACCAGAGUUGUGUGAGCUGGCACCUGGCGAGCAUGUUAUUGGUGUAUCGUCGUCGGUCUCGACGACAUCGUCGGCAUCACGGGGUGAGGGUAGGACUGUGCCACCACUGACUGUGAGAUUACACACGCGAAGCAUGAGCAAGUGCAUAACCGAGGAGGGCCACGCUGUAACCGUUGGGGAUGUAGUAUGGGGAAAGAUACAUGGCUUCCCCUGGUGGCCAGCCAGGAUCCUGAGCAUUAGCGGCACACGGAGAGAAGAGGAUGAGGCAGAUGCAUCAUGGCCUGAAGCAAAGGUGGCCUGGUUCGGCUCGCCCACCACCUCACAGCUUUCUGUGGCUAAACUUUCACCCUUUCGAGAAUUCUUCCGACUGCGAUUCAACCGCAAGAAAAAGGGCAUGUACCGGCGCGCAAUCAUCGAGGCAGCUAGAGCGGUGGGUCACAUGAGCUCCGAGAUCACUUCUCUGCUCUCACACUGCGAGACAUAGUUCUCUGAGCAACAUCUUCGUAGUCCUCACCUGAGACCUCUCAGGCAAAUGACUGUUGCACGAUGAUGUAAUGUGCCUCGCCGUGUAGCAGCAAAGUAGUGAAAGAGGGGAAGGCUGGACUCUGGCUGGAUUCAGGACCCUGUGCUCCCCUCCCGUCAUUCCCAAUCUGGACGGAGUGCAUUUACUACCGAUCUCAUGAGUGAUGGUGCUUUUUAUUUUUCGCCUGCACUGAAGGAGAAAUCAGUCACCAUGCAAAGCAGUCGAGGGCUUGAGGGAGCAGGCAGGAACAUCUGGGAAAUACAAGAGAAGAACUCUUACUCUCCACCUGUUUUUCUACCCUAUCCAUUUGUUCAGGACUUCUGUUUUUAGUAUAAAUGCGUAGCUCAACACUAAAUCCGAAUGUAUUUAUUGCCGAUUGAAGCACAGACUACCUUGCUACAGUCUCAUACGAUCGAUCCCACCGCUGCUGUUUGUUUGUUUGUUUUGUUUUGUUUGUUUUUUUUUUUUUGUCAGUGAGGAGCUCCUGUCUGUCAGGAGAAUUACAAUAGCUAAUGAAUUCAUCAUGGAUGCCAUAGCCAGCCUGCUCUAGUGACAUUCACCUAGUCCACUAUAGCAGGAAAAGAUGGACAUCUAUACGAUGGUAAAUAACUUGGCCUACUCUAAGGUCUCUUCUUUUUUUUUUUUCUUUAAAAACAGAAAAUGUGAAACACUUUCAUUUGUAUCCUCUGCAUCUAGCGAUAAUUGUGUAGGUCUUAAAAACAUGCAGUAUGUCGUCAUUGAUGGAUAUAUUUUCACCAGAGGGCCGAAGUUCUUUAAAUGGCCUGUCCCUUUGAGGAGAUGUAACUUGUUUUUCCAUUUUUUUCCCCCCUAGUUUAUUUUUCAUUUUUACGAUGUUAUUUUGAUGCUCUUGGUCUGAGGGCUUUGGGAACGGUGUCAUGAUUCUUCUGAGAAUCACAGAGUUUCAUAUGUACUUGCUUUAAUUAUUUAAUGUGUCAUGUAAAGAAAAGCACUUUAUCUGUACCUUCAGUGGCCUGCUGGACACUCGUACAACGAACACUAAUUUAGAGUUUUACAGCUGUGAACGGUGGACAAGCUCUCAGCAGCCCUCUGGUUCUGACUAUCACACCCGGCGCCUGGAAAGUGACUUCUUUUCUAUCAGGUUUGGACACGGACGAGAGAAAACAAGACGCUUUCAGGAACUAGUUGUGUACACUGUAUUAUUGUGGUUAGUCUUUUUUUUUUUUUUUUUUUUUUUUGGCAACCUGCGUUUGUUUUUCCUUCCCACCACCGUCUCCCACUAAAUGAAAAUUUCCACUGGAGAAAUGGACAGAAGUGUAAACUCCUAUGCAUCACAUCUUUAUUAAAGCUUUAAAAAAAAAAAACGAAUACCUGCUGUUAUGGUACUACGAUUUCCAUACCUGUGUGCCCCGAGCACUAAGCAAAAUUGAGAUUCUUUCAUGCUGCAGGUUCGACUUUUCUAUCUCCUUCAGGUGGAAGAGAAAAAGGUCUUUCUGGUCCACGAUUGAUCUUUUAGGGCCCUGAGAAUUUAAAGAGCCACUUUAGUCAGGGAGCAGGCAUGGAAACCAGGGAGGAAAUGAUGUGGGGGAAGGGAGCCAAACCCGAGCGGAGGUGUAUUUUAAGCUCACUGCAAAGCGCCUCACCACUGCAUUUCAAUAGUAGGUUCUUGUACUUUUUAAGGAUCACAUUUUUUUUCCCCCCUCCUUCCUGAAAUGAAUUUAAAGGAGGACAGUUGUGCGUGUGCCAGUGCAAAGACACUCGACCGCUGUCCUCAGAUCAGUGGAAUUUUUUUACAUGGUGUACAUAAAAUAAAAUCUACAAACAAUG